Molecule: ribosomal RNA, 879 nt
Filed under: uncultured bacterium
Lineage: Bacteria
Description: bacterial SSU rRNA
Rfam family: Bacterial small subunit ribosomal RNA
Source: RNAcentral
GGAAUCACUGGGNGUAAAGGACGCGUAGGCGGAUUAUCAAGUCUCUUGUGAAAUCUAACGGCUUAACCGUUAAACUGCUUGGGAAACUGAUAAUCUAGAGUAAGGGAGAGGCAGAUGGAAUUCUUGGUGUAGGGGUAAAAUCCGUAGAUAUCAAGAAGAAUACCUAUUGCGAAGGCGNUCUGCUGGAACUUAACUGACGCUAAUGCGUGAAAGCGUGGGGAGCAAACAGGAUUAGAUACCCUGGUAGUCCACGCCCUAAACGAUGUAUACCGGUUGUUGCUGUGCUAGUCACGGCAGUAAUCCACCUAACGGAUUAAGUAUACCGCCUGGGGAGUACGGUCGCAAGAUUAAAACUCAAAGGAAUAGACGGGGACCCGCACAAGCGGUGGAGCAUGUGGUUUAAUUCGAAGAUACGCGAAGAACCUUACCCGGACUUGAUAUCUAACAAAUCAUCCAGAGAUGGAAGAGUGUCUGCUUGCAGAAAUGUUAAGACAGGUGCUGCACGGCUGUCGUCAGCUCGUGUCGUGAGAUGUUGGGUUAAGUCCCGCAACGAGCGCAACCCACGUCAUUAGUUGCCAACGGUUCGGCCGAGCACUCUAAUGAGACUGCCUUCGUAAGGAGGAGGAAGGUGUGGACGACGUCAAGUCAUCAUGGCCCUUAUGUCCGGGGCGACACACGUGCUACAAUGGCAUAUACAAUAAGACGCAAUAUCGUAAGAUGGAGCAAAUCUAAAAAAUAUGUCCCAGUUCGGAUUGGAGUCUGCAACUCGACUCCAUGAAGCCGGAAUCGCUAGUAAUCGUAGAUCAGCCAUGCUACGGUGAAUACGUUCCCGGGUCUUGUACUCACCGCCCGUCACACCAUGGGAGUUGAUUUCACUNG